CUGAUCUUAGAUCUUACUCAGUUACUUGGAUAACUGUGGUAAUUCUAGAGCUAAUACAUGCAAUCAGAACUCUGACCAGUGAUGGGAUGAGUGCUUUUAUUAGAUCAAAACCAAUCGACGGAGGGCCACGCGUCUGAAGUCGUUAAUUUUGAUGAAUCUGGAUAACUUUUGCCGAUCGCAUGGUCCAGUACCGGCGACGCAUCUUUCAAAUGUCUGCCUUAUCAACUUUCGAUGGUAGUUUCUGCGACUACCAUGGUUGUCACGGGUAACGGGGAAUCAGGGUUCGAUUCCGGAGAGGGAGCCUGAGAAACGGCUACCACAUCCAAGGAAGGCAGCAGGCGCGCAAAUUACCCACUCCCGGCACGGGGAGGUAGUGACGAAAAAUAACGAUACGGGACUCUUACGAGGCCUCGUAAUCGGAAUGAGUACACUUUAAAUAUUUUAACGAGGAACAAUUGGAGGGCAAGUCUGGUGCCAGCAGCCGCGGUAAUUCCAGCUCCAAUAGCGUAUACUAAAAUUGUUGCGGUUAAAAAGCUCGUAGUUGCAUUUGUGCGCCGCGCUGUCGGUGCACCGCAUCCGCGGUGAUACUGACACGUCUGCGGAGCAUAUCGUCGGUGAGCCGGCGGUAAUACGCCGGUUCAAUAUCAAAAUCCUAUCGCGGUGCUCUUCGGUGAGUGUCGAGGUGGGCCGACAAUUUUACUUUGAACAAAUUAGAGUGCUCAAAGCGGGCUCAAAAUGCUGCUUGAAUAUUUCGUGCAUGGAAUAAUAGAAUAUGAUCUCGGUUCUAUUUUGUUGGUUUUCAGACUCCGAGGUAAUGAUUAAUAGGGAUACUGGGGGCAUUCGUAUGCGACGUAGAGGUGAAUUCUUGGAUCGUCGCAGACGACAUCAGCGAAAGCAUUUGCCAAAGGUCGUUUUCAUCA
This 920-nucleotide ribosomal RNA is filed under the name Chrysodeixis includens (soybean looper). RNAcentral's name for it is "SSU rRNA". It matches the Rfam family "Eukaryotic small subunit ribosomal RNA", at positions 114 to 975 of the family's 1831-position model. Lineage: Eukaryota; Metazoa; Arthropoda; Insecta; Lepidoptera; Noctuidae. The record is from RNAcentral.